UUUAUGACUUUGUGUGGUUCAUGAAAUGUGAGGUAAUCUUGAGAUGAUUUACAUGGAACAUUAAAGGAGACUGAUUUUGAGGAGGGCUUAGGAAACUUUUAAAAGAAGGUUGGACUACAGGACAUCUCUAUGUGCAUCCUGAAGUCUGUAUACAGUUCCACUAUUGCAAAGAAGCUACAAACAUGCAGACAAAUUGCAGAUAUGAGAAAUUCCUCUUUACCACGUUAAUAUGGAAGGAUAUUUAUAUAUAUAUUGGAUAACUUCUAUGUGCUCUACUUAUAACCUUUUCUAAAACUAUGAAACAAGAAGCAAAAAAUGUUGCUUUCAUCUUUUUGCAUGAGUUUGCUUGCAACUUUUUGUAUACAUCACCAAGCUGUAAGGCUUUCCUUGUAGGAGUGGUUACCUCCUGAUUCAUUUGCAAGGUGGUUUCUACCAGCCUUUAUCCUGUCCCCCAAAUUCACUGCAACACCCCAUGCAACACUGCUUUAUUUAGGCCAGUAAAUGGCACCAUAUUCUGACCCUGUGCUGUGGUAUGCAGACUAAUCCAGGGCAACUUUGUUGUUGGUGACUGGUGUAAAGACAUAGGGAAGAUGUGUAUGGGUUAGAGCCGCUGAAUGCCUGCAAAACCUCAGAAAGUGUAUACUUAGUUUAUGAAAUGUUCCAAUAAAGACUUGCUGAAUACACAGUGCUGAGAUUUGACA
Molecule: long non-coding RNA, 701 nt
Organism: Melospiza melodia melodia
Lineage: Eukaryota; Metazoa; Chordata; Aves; Passeriformes; Passerellidae
Exons: 3
Source: RefSeq, a predicted model, not a curated record